This 440-nucleotide ribosomal RNA is filed under the name uncultured Syntrophomonas sp. RNAcentral describes it as "bacterial SSU rRNA". It matches the Rfam family "Bacterial small subunit ribosomal RNA", at positions 943 to 1382 of the family's 1533-position model. Lineage: Bacteria; Bacillati; Bacillota; Clostridia; Eubacteriales; Syntrophomonadaceae. The record is from RNAcentral.
GGUUAAUUCGAUGCAACGCGAAGAACCUUACCAGGUCUUGACAUCCCACGAAUUCAUCUGAAAGGAUGGAGUGCCUUCGGGAGCGUGGAGGACAGGUGGUGCAUGGUUGUCGUCAGCUCGUGUCGUGAGAUGUUGGGUUAAGUCCCGCAACGAGCGCAACCCUUGCUAUUAGUUGCUAACAGGUAGAGCUGAGCACUCUAAUGGGACUGCCGGUGACAAGCCGGAGGAAGGUGGGGAUGACGUCAAAUCAUCAUGCCCUUUAUGACCUGGGCUACACACGUGCUACAAUGGAUGGUACAGAGAGCAGCGAGGCAGCGAUGUGGAGCGAAUCUCAAAAAGCCAUUCUCAGUUCGGAUUGGAGUCUGCAACUCGACUCCAUGAAGUCGGAAUCGCUAGUAAUCGCGAAUCAGCAUGUCGCGGUGAAUGCGUUCCCGGGCCUU